AGGAAUGUGUCCAGAGGUGGGGGACAACCUUGGGAAACUGAGGCUACUACCGCAUAUGAGCUGAGGCUCAAAGCAGCGAUGCGCCUUUGGAGUAGCCUGCGUCCGAUUAGCUAGUUGGUGGGGUAAAGGCCUACCAAGGCGACGAUCGGUAGCUGGUCUGAGAGGACGACCAGCCACACUGGGACUGAGACACGGCCCAGACUCCUACGGGAGGCAGCAGUGGGGAAUAUUGGACAAUGGGCGCAAGCCUGAUCCAGCAAUGCCGCGUGUGUGAAGAAGGUCUUCGGAUCGUAAAGCACUUUCGACGGGGACGAUGAUGACGGUACCCGUAGAAGAAGCCCCGGCUAACUUCGUGCCAGCAGCCGCGGUAAUACGAAGGGGGCUAGCGUUACUCGGAAUUACUGGGCGUAAAGGGCGCGUAGGCGGCGCUCCAAGUUAGGCGUGAAAGUCCUGGGCUCAACCUGGGAACUGCGCUUAAGACUGGAGUGCUUGAGGAUGGAAGAGGGUCGUGGAAUUCCCAGU
Molecule: ribosomal RNA, 522 nt
Filed under: uncultured bacterium
Lineage: Bacteria
Description: bacterial SSU rRNA
Rfam family: Bacterial small subunit ribosomal RNA
Source: RNAcentral